GAGACUUAACUUGCAGCAAAAGGAUCAGACACAAUAUGGGACUUUUCCUGUGAUGCUUGCAAUAAAAACGAGGCUCAGUUUUACUGUGAAGGGUGUUCAAAGUGUUACUGCGAUAAUUGUGUGAAACUACACAACCAGCUAUUUAAGUCUCACUCUUUGUUCGGCAGAGAACGAAUGGAGAAAUGGCCGAUUGUCAAGUCAACGUUAGACGUACUGGAGCAGUGUGAAGAGCAUAGUGAUGAAAAACUAAAACUGUUCUGUGAGGACCAUAGCCAACUUUGUUGACACAUUUGCGUGGCACUUCAUCACAGCCUUAGGAUGAUGGUAGAGAGCAGGACUACAAUUCUGAGGAUCGCGGGUUUGAUUUCUGUUCUGGUCGGGUCAAAUAACUUUAAUGAUGAAUGAUAACAGGGUUUUUUUCUGCUAUGUUAUAAAGGCCGUAAAACUGACCCAAUCCCAAAGCAAACGGACCAAAUCCUAAACCUAGGUGAAACUGUUAGACAAGAAAUACCCGUGUUUGAGAAACUUCACAGUGCCUCAGUAUUCAAAUGACAUGUGUCUAACAUCUCCGAGUGAGGUGGUUGGGUGGUUGUUACUUGUUACAACGUAUGAGCAACCCAUUGGCGGUCCACAAGGUCUUCACAUGAUAACUGUGCAGAAUGACAGGUUGGAGAAGGGAAGGACGCUUCAGCAGCAACACAGGUGUGUUGAUGUUACCCACCAUGAAGAUGCUCUGUUUGUAACUUCCGAGAAAGCUGUGUAUCAAUACACUCUGACUGGAAUAGUAAUAUAGAAACUGUACGAGGACACGACAGGAUCUAAUACAGUGUACGAAUGUGCUGUAAACCUCAUGGGUGACAAUAUCUACAUGAACAACAUGGACAAACACACACUUCUCACACUGGCCAUGGGUGGAGCAGUUAUCUCAACCUUUUCUGACACUGACCCAAAAUUCACAAGAGGUGUUCAUGUGACAGCUGGUGGACAUGUGCGUGUUUGUGGCUAUGCAUCAAACACGAUUAUACAGUUGGACAGCGAGGGAAAACAAGAGGAUUUCCAUACUGGCUACUGAGAAGGACGAAGAAGACGGUCCAAGUGUAGUUUUCUACAGUUGCAGCACUGAUUCAGUGCUCGUAGUUGAUGAAAACCAUAUCAUUAUAGUUUUUAAAGUAACAUAGGCAGGGACAGAACAAAUCAUGAAA
Dreissena polymorpha is the source of this 1202-nucleotide long non-coding RNA. RefSeq lists it as uncharacterized. The record is from RefSeq and is a predicted model, not a curated record. The transcript is spliced from 3 exons. NCBI's taxonomy places the organism in Eukaryota, Metazoa, Mollusca, Bivalvia, Myida, Dreissenidae.